AGACCGCGGAGGGUACUGGUUACAGCCUAUCCACGCCUCAGGAUAGAGACUGCAGAAAAUUGUGAAAUUUCCGGAUGAAAAUUGAGUGAUCUUAAACCUGCCCCAUUCGUUGAAAAUCUACCUUAGGCUUCCCUGGUGGCACAGUGGUUAAGAAUCCGCCUGCCAAUGCAGGGAACAUGGGUUCGAGCCCUGGUCUGGGAAGAUCCCACAUGCCGAGGAGCAGCUAAGCCUGUGCGACACAACUACAGAGCCUGCGCUCUAGAGCCCACGAGCCACAACUACUGAGCCCACGUGCCAGAACUACUGAAGCCCACAUGCCUAGAGCCCAUGCUCUGCAACAAGAGAAGCCAUUGCAAUGAGAAGCACAUGCACCACAACGAAGAGUAGCCCCCGCUCGCCGCAACUACAGAAAGCCCAUGCACAUCAAUGAAGACCCAACACAGCCAUAAAUAAAUAAAAAAAAAGCAUACCUUGGAGACUGUGGCUUCAGUCCAGACCACUGUAAUAAAGCAAAUAUCACAAUAAAGCAAAUCACAUGAA
Lagenorhynchus albirostris (white-beaked dolphin) is the source of this 540-nucleotide long non-coding RNA. RefSeq lists it as uncharacterized. The record is from RefSeq and is a predicted model, not a curated record. The transcript has 3 exons. Lineage: Eukaryota; Metazoa; Chordata; Mammalia; Artiodactyla; Delphinidae.